ACAGCGUAUAAACUAACCAUGUCGGUGUUUUAUUUUAUUGAGUCGUUUGAAACUACUAACCACGUCGGUAGUUAUUUAUCGUCGUGAUAAAUAUAUAAUGUCGUCGAUUGCUACUUUAUUUCGUCGUGUGAAAUAUUAUAAUACGUCGUUUUUGUAAAUAACCAUCGUUAACGGGGAUCAAACCGACGUAGUUCCAAAAU
Molecule: long non-coding RNA, 200 nt
Filed under: Prunus persica (peach)
Lineage: Eukaryota; Viridiplantae; Streptophyta; Magnoliopsida; Rosales; Rosaceae
Description: long non-coding RNA (PPER_LNC001156)
Source: RNAcentral